GAUGAACGCUGGCGGCGUGCCUAAUACAUGCAAGUCGAGCGAACGGACGAGAAGCUUGCUUCUCUGAUGUUAGCGGCGGACGGGUGAGUAACACGUGGAUAACCUACCUAUAAGACUGGGAUAACUUCGUGAAACCGGAGCUAAUACCGGAUGAUAUUUUGAACCGCAUGGUUCAAAAGUGAAAGACGGUCUUGCUGUCACUUAUAGAUGGAUCCGCGCUGCAUUAGCUAGUUGGUAAGGUAACGGCUUACCAAGGCAACGAUGCAUAGCCGACCUGAGAGGGUGAUCGGCCACACUGGAACUGAGACACGGUCCAGACUCCUACGGGAGGCAGCAGUAGGGAAUAUUGCGCAAUGGGCGCAAGCCUGACGGAGCAACGCCGCGUGAGUGAUGAAGGUCUUCGGGUCGUAAAACUCUGUUAUUAGGGAAGAACAUAUGUGUAAGUAACUGUGCACAUCUUGACGGUACCUAAUCAGAAAGCAACGGCUAACUACGUG
RNAcentral lists this ribosomal RNA (497 nucleotides) under uncultured bacterium. Its description in RNAcentral is "partial 16S ribosomal RNA". It matches the Rfam family "Bacterial small subunit ribosomal RNA", at positions 28 to 507 of the family's 1533-position model. The record is from RNAcentral.